CAAACAGUUUGACAUAAAUCAGGCAUCUGGUCGGCGGUCGCUCUACCUAAAUUACGAAAGAACUAAAAUCGAACAAAAAAGGAGACCUACAUGAGCGUAACGAAUACUGUGAUCAAAUGCCGCAGUUGGGCCAAUGAUGAAGCCAUCAACGUUUCAGUUUAUAUACACCUCCUUUGCCAGGCGAACGAGCGGCCCUUAUUGAUUUUGAUGGCUGCGCAGCAGUACAAAGUGAUUUAUCGCAGAUCCUGCGGCAAAUGGGGAAGAAACACACACAACGAGGAGCGCAUCCACAAGAUACGAAUCCGGGUCCGAAAACGUCGAUAAGUUGUGGCGGCCUUUAAACGGCCCUCGAGGCGACUUCAUCGCCAUCAUCGUUACCGCCUACAAGACGUCAACACUCAGUGGUCAGAAGACAAGCGAAGGAAAAGGAGACUGCACUGCGAAAAAAUUGGUGAAAACGAUUCUUUUCGACCAGUGUAUACAUACACAAUGGGAUGUGAGACUCGAGAAGAAUGUCUGCACUGCGCCGCUGAUGAACUUAUCUACAUCUCGGGACAUUAACGUGU
Drosophila melanogaster (fruit fly) is the source of this 566-nucleotide non-coding RNA. Lineage: Eukaryota; Metazoa; Arthropoda; Insecta; Diptera; Drosophilidae. The record is from Ensembl.